RNAcentral lists this ribosomal RNA (657 nucleotides) under uncultured bacterium. Its description in RNAcentral is "bacterial SSU rRNA". It matches the Rfam family "Bacterial small subunit ribosomal RNA", at positions 128 to 781 of the family's 1533-position model. The record is from RNAcentral.
GCCCAGUAGUGGGGGAUAGCCCGGCGAAAGCCGGAUUAAUACCGCAUACGACCUGAGGGUGAAAGCGGGGGAUCGCAAGACCUCGCGCUAUUGGAGCGGCCGAUAUCAGAUUAGCUUGUUGGUGGGGUAAAAGCCUACCAAGGCGACGAUCUGUAGCUGGUCUGAGAGGACGACCAGCCACACUGGGACUGAGACACGGCCCAGACUCCUACGGGAGGCAGCAGUGGGGAAUUUUGGACAAUGGGCGCAAGCCUGAUCCAGCCAUGCCGCGUGCGGGAAGAAGGCCUUCGGGUUGUAAACCGCUUUUGUCAGGGAAGAAACGGCUCUUGCUAAUAUCGAGAGCUAAUGACGGUACCUGAAGAAUAAGCACCGGCUAACUACGUGCCAGCAGCCGCGGUAAUACGUAGGGUGCAAGCGUUAAUCGGAAUUACUGGGCGUAAAGCGUGCGCAGGCGGCUAUGCAAGACAGAUGUGAAAUCCCCGGGCUCAACCUGGGAACUGCAUUUGUGACUGCAUGGCUAGAGUGCGGCAGAGGGGGAUGGAAUUCCGCGUGUAGCAGUGAAAUGCGUAGAUAUGCGGAGGAACACCGAUGGCGAAGCAAUCCCCUGGGCCUGCACUGACGCUCAUGCACGAAAGCGUGGGGAGCAAACAGGAUUAG